GAGGAAUAUUGGUCAAUGGACGCGAGUCUGAACCAGCCAUGUCGCGUGCAGGAUGACUGCCCUAUGGGUUGUAAACUGCUUUUGUAUGGGAAGAAAGUGAGAUACGUGUAUCUCUUUGCCGGUACCAUACGAAUAAGGAUCGGCUAACUCCGUGCCAGCAGCCGCGGUAAUACGGAGGAUCCAAGCGUUAUCCGGAUUUAUUGGGUUUAAAGGGUGCGUAGGCGGUUUAAUAAGUCAGUGGUGAAAUCUUGCAGCUUAACUGUAAAAUUGCCAUUGAUACUGCUAGACUUGAGUAUAGUUGAGGUGGGCGGAAUGUGUUGUGUAGCGGUGAAAUGCAUAGAUAUAACACAGAACACCAAUUGCGAAGGCAGCUCACUAAGCUAUAACUGACGCUGAGGCACGAAAGCGUGGGUAGCGAAC
This 420-nucleotide ribosomal RNA is filed under the name uncultured bacterium. RNAcentral's name for it is "bacterial SSU rRNA". It matches the Rfam family "Bacterial small subunit ribosomal RNA", at positions 356 to 773 of the family's 1533-position model. The record is from RNAcentral.